AUCGUCCUUCGGGGUCGGGUGCAAGUCCCAACCGGCGGUGAUGAAGCAAUUCUAAGCCCGCGAGCCAAAACCUGGCAGGAUUUGGUGAGAUUCCAAAGCCGACAGUACAGUCUGGAUGGGAGAAGGACAGA
This 131-nucleotide non-coding RNA is filed under the name Bacillus sp. CECT 9360. Its description in RNAcentral is "FMN". It matches the Rfam family "FMN riboswitch aptamer (RFN element)". From Rfam's summary of the family: The RFN element is a highly conserved domain that is found frequently in the 5'-untranslated regions of prokaryotic mRNAs that encode for flavin mononucleotide (FMN) biosynthesis and transport proteins. This element is a metabolite-dependent riboswitch that directly binds FMN in the absence of proteins. The record is from RNAcentral. Lineage: Bacteria; Bacillati; Bacillota; Bacilli; Caryophanales; Bacillaceae.